AUAGGAGACAAGAAGGCAUCUUCUUGUUUUUAAAAGACCUAGCAAUAGGUAUGCUUAGGGAGGAGCUUGCGUCACAUUAGUUAGUUGGUGGGGUAAAGGCCUACCAAGACUAUGAUGUGUAGCCGGGCUGAGAGGUUGAACGGCCACAUUGGGACUGAGACACGGCCCAAACUCCUACGGGAGGCAGCAGUAGGGAAUUUUCGGCAAUGGAGGAAACUCUGACCGAGCAACGCCGCGUGAACGAUGAAGUAUUUCGGUACGUAAAGUUCUUUUAUUAGGGAAGAAUAAAUGAUGGAAAAAUCAUUCUGACGGUACCUAAUGAAUAAGCCCCGGCUAACUAUGUGCCAGCAGCCGCGGUAAUACAUAGGGGGCAAGCGUUAUCCGGAAUUAUUGGGCGUAAAGGGUGCGUAGGCGGUUAAAUAAGUUUAUGGUCUAAGUGCAAUGCUCAACAUUGUGAUGCUAUAAAAACUGUUUAGCUAGAGUAAGAUAGAGGCAAGUGGAAUUCCAUGUGUAGUGGUAAAAUGCGUAAAUAUAUGGAGGAACACCAGUAGCGAAGGCGGCUUGCUGGGUCUUUACUGACGCUGAGGCACGAAAGCGUGGGGAGCAAACAGGAUUAGAUACCCUGGUAGUCCACGCCGUAAACGAUGAGUACUAAACGUUGGGUAAAACCAGUGUUGAAGUUAACACAUUAAGUACUCCGCCUGAGUAGUACGUACGCAAGUAUGAAACUUAAAGGAAUUGACGGGACUCCGCACAAGCGGUGGAUCAUGUUGUUUAAUUCGAAGGUACCCGAAAAACCUCACCAGGUCUUGACAUGCUUCUGCAAAGCUGUAGAAACACAGUGGAGGUUAUCAGUUGCACAGGUGGUGCAUGGUUGUCGUCAGCUCGUGUCGUGAGAUGUUGGGUUAAGUCCCGCAACGAGCGCAACCCUUAUUGUUAGUUACCAGCACGUAAUGGUGGGGACUUUAGCAAGACUGCCAGUGAUAAAUUGGAGGAAGGUGGGGACGACGUCAAAUCAUCAUGCCCCUUAUGACCUGGGCUACAAACGUGAUACAAUGGCUGUUACAAAGGGUAGCUGAAGCGCAAGUUUUUGGCGAAUCUCAAAAAAACAGUCUCAGUUCGGAUUGAAGUCUGCAACUCGACUUCAUGAAGUUGGAAUCGCUAGUAAUCGCGAAUCAGCAUGUCGCGGUGAAUACGUUCU
This 1201-nucleotide ribosomal RNA is filed under the name Aster yellows phytoplasma. Its description in RNAcentral is "bacterial SSU rRNA". It matches the Rfam family "Bacterial small subunit ribosomal RNA", at positions 173 to 1374 of the family's 1533-position model. RNAcentral also lists the same sequence under 3 other names. Lineage: Bacteria; Bacillati; Mycoplasmatota; Mollicutes; Acholeplasmatales; Acholeplasmataceae. The record is from RNAcentral.